Molecule: ribosomal RNA, 979 nt
Filed under: Pandorites podoceroides
Lineage: Eukaryota; Metazoa; Arthropoda; Malacostraca; Amphipoda; Pontogammaridae
Description: 16S ribosomal RNA
Source: RNAcentral
ACCCGGCAGGGUAUAAAAUAAAGGUAAAGAAAAAGUGAUUUGUACCUCUUGUAUCAGGGACAUUUAAAAAAUAAAGUUAUGUUAAUUUCGAUUUAAUUAAAACUUAAGUAAGGAAGGAUAGUGGAAUUUAUAUUUUCAAGUUCUAGGUGGUUAAAAGUUGUCGUUAGUUAUAGUAUCUAAUUAUCCAAAAUAUUUAAGGUUAAGCUUAAAUAUGACCAAAAAAUAAUAAAAUGUUCAAAAAAUUAGGCUUUUAAUUAGCUUUAUUUUUAAAUAGUUGUAUAUAAUUAUAAACAUAAAAAAUGUUUUUGGUAAAAUAUUAUUGUUAUUUAAACAAAUAAAAAAUAAUGAGUGUAUAAAAUAAAUAUUGAAAGUAGAAAAUAACUCGCAAAAGGUAUAACUGUUUAUCAAAAACAUUUCUUUUUUUAUUAAAAGUAAAACCUGCUCAGUGAUUUAUUUAACAGCUGCGGUAUUUUGACCGUGCUAAGGUAGCAUAAUCAAUUGUUUUUUAAUUGAAAACUAGUAUGAACGGUUGAAUAUAUCAAAUAAGUUUGUUUACUUUUUUUAUAAAUUAAAGAUAAAGUAAGAAUUCUUUAAUAGAUUAAGGGACGAUAAGACCCUAAAAGCUUUAUUAUUAGUAUAAAGUUAAUGGUAUUAAAAAAAUAAAUUUACUGGGGCAGUACUUUUAUAUGCCCGCAUAUAUUCAAAGAAUAGUGAAAGGUCCUUUAAAUAAAGAUUAUACGAGCAAGUUACUUUAGGGAUAACAGUGUAAUAUAUUUGGGGAGAUCGAAUCUAUAAAUAUGAUUGCAACCUCGAUGUUGAAUUAGAGUUUCUAUACGAGCAGAAUACGAUUUAGAAAGUUUGUUCAACUUUUAAAUCUCUAUAUGAUUUGAGUUCAAAUCGGUUUAAGCCAGAUUGGAUUCUAUCUUUUAUUUAUAUAAAUAUAAUUUUAGUACGAAAGGGGUAAAUUAUUUUUGUUUGC